GUAAUGUAUGGGGAUCUGCCUGAUGGCGGGGGGUAACUACUGGAAACGGUAGCUAAUACCGCAUAAUGUCUGCGGACCAAAAGGGGGGACCUCCCGGGCCUCGCGCCAUCAGAUGAACCCAUAUGGGAUUAGCUAGUAGGUGAGGUAACGGCUUACCUAGGCGACGAUCCCUAGCUGGUCUGAGAGGAUGAUCAGCCACACUGGGACUGAGACACGGCCCAG
Molecule: ribosomal RNA, 222 nt
Filed under: uncultured bacterium
Lineage: Bacteria
Description: partial 16S ribosomal RNA
Rfam family: Bacterial small subunit ribosomal RNA
Source: RNAcentral